This 1739-nucleotide unclassified non-coding RNA is filed under the name Daphnia pulicaria. Its description in RNAcentral is "mucin-2-like, transcript variant X4". Lineage: Eukaryota; Metazoa; Arthropoda; Branchiopoda; Diplostraca; Daphniidae. The record is from RNAcentral.
GAUGCAGUCAUCAGUUGAUUCCCAAUACUGCCAGAAAACAUUUUCGCUUUCAGUCGGCUCUCUUGAUUUCUUGCUUCUAUCGAUGGGACUGUCUUCUUGGGCUGUAGCCCUUUGCUUUCUUGUCGGUUUGCAUUCCCAUCCACUAAGUAUUCUGGCCAAAUUCGUGGGUAAUCAUGAAAAUUUUUUAAAUUAUAUUCCCGCUGCAUCUGGAGAUUUUCCGUAUUUGUGCAUUUUGAACUUGAAUGGCUAUUUGUGUGGAGGAACCCUAAUUGGACCUUCCCAUAUCUUGACUGCAGCUCAUUGUUUACACGGUCACGCAAUCACAGAAAUCAGCAAAUUCAGUGCUGUGUUAAAUUCACUUGCGAUUGACGGAAGCAGUACAGGAGCUGUUAUAAGAGGAGUAAAGGACUUUAUCGUUCACGAACAAUACAAUCCCAGCUACAAGGAUAACGACAUUGCCAUAUUGAUCCUAAGUUCGCCAGUUACUAAUCUAUCGUUCGCUACUCUUCCUACUGAUUCCAUAAAAAAAGCAACAAUCUUAAAAGCAUCUACCACGAAAACCCCUACGACAACACCUAAACCAACAUCGGCAAAAGAAAAACAGACAAUAACAGAAAAUUUCAAAUCCACUAUUAAUCAACAAAACAUAACGACUCAAAAAGCCCAUCAAGAAGUAUUUUUUACUUCAACAUCGAUACCUAAACCAAAUGCAUCAACGACAGCAGAAAAUACGACUUCAGGCUCUGAUUUAGUUCCGCUUAGUAAUAUUUUCAGUAGCUUACUAGCAAUCAAGUCGACAACAACACAACUUCCGACCACUAAAACAACUAUUACGACUACACCACAUACCUCAACAAAUGCCAUUUCCACAAUUGCAACGGCGGCAGCAGAAAAUACGACGUCAGGCUCUGAUUUAGUGCCCCUUAUUAAUAUUUUUAGUAGCUUGCUAGCAAUUAAAUCAACAACAACACAACUUCCGACAACUAAAACAACUAUUACGACUACAAUGCAUACCACAACAAAUGCGAUUUUAACAAUUGCAACAACAUUAGAAAAUACGACGACAGGCUCUGAUUUAGUGCCCCUUAGCCAUAUUUUCAGUAGCUUACAAGCAAUUAAAUCGACAACAACACAACGUCCCACAACUAAAACAGCUAUUACGACUUCAACGCAUACCACAACAAAUGCAAAUUCAACAAUUACAAUGACAUCAGAAAAUACGACCCCAGGCUCUGAUUUAGUGCCCCUUAGCAAUAUUUUCAGUAGCUUACAAGAAAGUAAAAUGACAACAACACAAACCCCCUCAACAGCUAAUAAAACUACGGCGAAACCCAACACCAACAAAACAUCAAAAACUAAAACAACAAUUGCAACGACGACAGAAGGAAAACCAACUUCAGACUACGAGUUGGUGCCCCUCAGCCAUUUUUUCAGUAGCACAUCUGCUAAAAGUGCUUUUAGUACUUUUGCGAAUAUCCCGGCCGUUAUAACUGGAUGGAGAACAAUUUCUCUAGAAGCUUUUCAAAGGUAUUACUGAAAGCGGACGUCAUAAUAAGAGACAACUCCUUCUGCAAAAGUCGACAUGAUAGUUUUUUUAUCGGCGCUGAUAUGUUAUGUGCAUCCGCUUCCAGCGCACACACUUGUCAGGAUAUGAGUGGUGGUCCCCUGUUCGUUAAUGGUGUUCAAGUUGGUAUCUUCAGCUGGGGAAAUGGCUGUGUUGAUUCUAAUUUUGCUGGCAU